GCGUAACGCGUGGGAAUCUGCCCUUGGGUCCBGGAUAACAGUUAGAAAUGACUGCUAAUACCGGAUAAUGACGUAAGUCCAAAGAUUUAUCGCCUAGGGAUGAGCCCGCGUAGGAUUAGCUUGUUGGUGAGGUAAAAGCUCACCAAGGCGACGAUCCUUAGCUGGUCUGAGAGGAUGAUCAGCCACACUGGGACUGAGACACGGCCCAGACUCCUACGGGAGGCAGCAGUGGGGAAUAUUGGACAAUGGGCGAAAGCCUGAUCCAGCAAUGCCGCGUGAGUGAUGAAGGCCUUAGGGUUGUAAC
RNAcentral lists this ribosomal RNA (304 nucleotides) under uncultured Sphingomonas sp. RNAcentral describes it as "bacterial SSU rRNA". It matches the Rfam family "Bacterial small subunit ribosomal RNA", at positions 108 to 429 of the family's 1533-position model. The record is from RNAcentral. Lineage: Bacteria; Pseudomonadati; Pseudomonadota; Alphaproteobacteria; Sphingomonadales; Sphingomonadaceae.